GACGAACGCUGGCGGCGUGCUUAACACAUGCAAGUCGAACGGAAAGGCCCUGCUUUUGUGGGGUGCUCGAGUGGCGAACGGGUGAGUAACACGUGAGUAACCUGCCCUUGACUUUGGGAUAACUUCAGGAAACUGGGGCUAAUACCGGAUAGGAGCUCCUGCUGCAUGGUGGGGGUUGGAAAGUUUCGGCGGUUGGGGAUGGACUCGCGGCUUAUCAGCUUGUUGGUGGGGUAGUGGCUUACCAAGGCUUUGACGGGUAGACGGCCUGAGAGGGUGACCGGCCACAUUGGGACUGAGAUACGGCCCAGACUCCUACGGGAGGCAGCAGUGGGGAAUAUUGCACAAUGGGCGGAAGCCUGACGCAGCAACGCCGCGUGCGGGAUGACGGCCUUCGGGUUGUAAACCGCUUUCGCCUGUGACGAAGCGUGAGUGACGGUAAUGGGUAAAGAAGCACCGGCUAACUACGUG
RNAcentral lists this ribosomal RNA (468 nucleotides) under uncultured bacterium. RNAcentral's name for it is "partial 16S ribosomal RNA". It matches the Rfam family "Bacterial small subunit ribosomal RNA", at positions 28 to 507 of the family's 1533-position model. The record is from RNAcentral.